GGGCCGUUAGCUCAAUGGAUAGAGCAAGUACCUUCUAAGUACUCGACGAAGGUUCGACUCCUUCACGGCCUA
RNAcentral lists this transfer RNA (72 nucleotides) under Chloroflexota bacterium. Its description in RNAcentral is "tRNA-Arg". It matches the Rfam family "tRNA". Rfam says of the family: Transfer RNA (tRNA) molecules are approximately 80 nucleotides in length. Their secondary structure includes four short double-helical elements and three loops (D, anti-codon, and T loops). Further hydrogen bonds mediate the characteristic L-shaped molecular structure. tRNAs have two regions of fundamental functional importance: the anti-codon, which is responsible for specific mRNA codon recognition, and the 3' end, to which the tRNAs corresponding amino acid is attached (by aminoacyl-tRNA synthetases). tRNAs cope with the degeneracy of the genetic code in two manners: having more than one tRNA (with a specific anti-codon) for a particular amino acid; and 'wobble' base-pairing, i.e. permitting non-standard base-pairing at the 3rd anti-codon position. The record is from RNAcentral. Lineage: Bacteria; Bacillati; Chloroflexota.